Otolemur garnettii (small-eared galago) is the source of this 2245-nucleotide RNA transcript. It is a transcript of the gene named CLK4 associating serine/arginine rich protein, with no coding region annotated. The transcript is spliced from 21 exons. The record is from RefSeq and is a predicted model, not a curated record. Lineage: Eukaryota; Metazoa; Chordata; Mammalia; Primates; Galagidae.
GCGGCCUCUCAUUUCCGUUUCCGGUGCGGCCGCGCGCGAGCGCAGCGGUGGGAGGCCGCGAUCAGCCGGUUGAGGCCCUAGGCUUGGCCUCACCACAAUGUGGCACGAGGCUCGGAAGCAUGAGCGGAAGCUUCGAGGCAUGAUGGUGGACUACAAGAAGAGAGCAGAGCGGAGGCGGGAGUACUAUGAAAAAAUCAAGAAGGACCCAGCCCAGUUCCUGCAGGUACAUGGCCGAGCUUGCAAGGUGCACUUGGAUUCUGCAGUUGCCCUGGCUGCCGAGAGCCCUGUUAACAUGAUGCCCUGGCAGGGGGACACCAACAACAUGAUUGACCGCUUCGAUGUUCGUGCCCACCUGGACCACAUACCUGACUACACGCCCCCACUGCUCACCACCAUCUCCCCAGAACAAGAGUCAGAUGAGCGGAAAUGUAACUACGAGCGCUACCGGGGCCUGGUACAGAACGACUUUGCUGGCAUCUCAGAGGAGCAGUGCCUGUACCAGAUCUACAUUGAUGAGUUGUACGGAGGCCUCCAGAGACCUAGUGAGGAUGAGAAGAAGAAGCUGGCAGAGAAGAAGGCUUCCAUUGGUUAUACCUAUGAGGAUAGCACAGUGGCUGAGGUAGAGAAGGCAGCAGAGAAGACUGAGGAGGAGGAGUCACCGGCUGAGGAGGAGAGCAACUCGGAUGAAGAUGAGGUCAUCCCCGACAUCGAUGUGGAGGUGGAUGUGGAUGAACUGAACCAGGAGCAGGUGGCAGAUCUCAACAAACAGGCCACAACCUAUGGCAUGGCCGACGGUGAUUUUGUCAGGAUGCUUCGGAAAGACAAGGAGGAGGCAGAGGCCAUCAAACAUGCCAAGGCCCUUGAGGAGGAGAAGGCCAUGUACUCGGGCCGUCGCUCCCGGCGCCAGCGGAGAGAAUUUCGUGAGAAGCGGCUUAGAGGCCGCAAGAUCAGCCCACCCAGCUAUGCCCGCCGAGAUAGCCCCACCUACGAUCCCUACAAGCGGUCGCCCUCAGAGUCCAGUUCUGAGUCCCGCUCUCGUUCCCGCUCCCCGACCCCAGGCCGUGAAGAGAAGAUCACAUUCAUCACCAGUUUUGGGGGCAGCGAUGAGGAGGCAGCUGCAGCUGCAGCUGCCGCAGCCGCAUCAGGGGCCACCACAGGGAAGCCCCCCGCACCCUCCCAGCCUGGCGGCCCUGCCCCGGGACGUAAUGCCAGUGCCCGCCGCCGCUCCUCCUCUUCCUCCUCCUCUUCUGCCUCGAGGACCUCCAGCUCCCGCUCCAGUUCCCGAUCCAGCUCCCGCUCCCACCGAGGUGGGGGCUACUACCGCUCCAGUCGCCAUGCCCGCUCCCGGUCCCGCUCCUGGUCCCGCUCCCGGUCCCGCUCCAGGCGUUAUUCCCGGUCCCGCAGCCGUGGCCGGCGACACUCAGGUGGAGGGUCCCGAGAUGGACACCGCUACUCCCGUUCACCUGCCAGGCGCGGUGGUUAUGGGCCUCGGCGCAGAAGCAGGAGCCGCUCUCGCUCAGGGGACCGCUACAGGCGGGGCGGCCGGGGCCCCAGGCACCAUAGCAGUAGCCGCAGCCGCAGCAGCUGGUCUCUCAGCCCAUCCCGCAGUCGCAGUCUGACUCGCAGCCGGAGCCACAGUCCCAGCCGGAGCCACAGCCCUAGCCACAGCCAUAGCCACAGCCGCAGCCGGAGCCGCAGCCAGAGUCACUCACCAUCACCCCCAAGAGAGAAGCUGACCAGGCCAGCGGCGUCCCCUGCUGUGGGCGAGAAGCUGAAAAAGACCGAACCUGCCGCUGGUAAAGAGACAGGAGCUGCCAAAGUCACCCAAGCUCACACCACAGGAGAAGCUGAAGCUGAGGAUGCAGAAGGCACUGAACAGGCAGUUCAAGGCGGAUAAAAAGGCAGCUCAGGAGAAGAUGAUACAGCAGGAACAUGAGCGGCAGGAGCGAGAAGAUGAGCUUCGAGCCAUGGCCCGCAAGAUCCGGAUGAAGGAGCGGGAGCGCCGAGAAAAGGAGAGAGAAGAAUGGGAGCGCCAGUACAGCCGGCAAAGCCGCUCACCCUCGCCUCGCUACAGUCGAGAAUACAGCUCUUCUCGAAGGCGCUCAAGGUCCCGAUCCAGAAGCCCCCAUUACCGACAUUAAGCAGAAGAGAAGGGGACAAUGGGGUGAGGAGUGGGGGCUGAAGCUGUGAUGCUGCUGGUUUUAUCUUUAGUGAAAUAAAAUCAAAUAUUAUUUAAUUCCCUUCA